RNAcentral lists this ribosomal RNA (253 nucleotides) under uncultured bacterium. RNAcentral's name for it is "partial 16S ribosomal RNA". It matches the Rfam family "Bacterial small subunit ribosomal RNA", at positions 524 to 776 of the family's 1533-position model. The record is from RNAcentral.
UACGGAGGGGGCUAGCGUUGCUCGGAAUGACUGGGCGUAAAGGGCGCGUAGGCGGAUGGCACAGUCAGAUGUGAAAUUCCUGGGCUUAACCUGGGGGCUGCAUUUGAUACGUGUGAUCUAGAGUGAGGAAGAGGGUUGUGGAAUUCCCAGUGUAGAGGUGAAAUUCGUAGAUAUUGGGAAGAACACCGGUGGCGAAGGCGGCGACCUGGUCCUUAACUGACGCUGAGGCGCGAAAGCGUGGGGAGCAAACAGG